GGGGAAUUGCUUUGCUAGUGUUUGCAGCAAACACUUCUAUCACAGAGGCUUAAACUGUCCUGCUGUCUCUCUGCCCGCCUGUUUGCUGUCUCCAGUCAGCUAGAACAUGCUGACCACUUCCUACUAGUCUCAACAGAGACAUUAAAAUGCCAAAAAAAAAGAAUUUUAUUCUUGCAAGAAAAUGUGUGAAGGGGGAGAGACCCACGCUUGGGCUGCCACCAAGAGAAAACCUUCAGCGUGCUCAGCCCCCUUGCCAGACACCGAAAAGCCACAGAAGAGGACCGGCACCCCACAGGGCCCCCAGACAGAGCCAGCAACACCUGGUGCCUCUCCUACCUCCAGAACCAAGGCUACUGCUUUGUUUCAGCGCCUCAGCUGGGCUGGCCAGCAGAGAGAAACGCCCCAGCAGGGCAGAGACCCCGGGACAGUGCGGUAGGUGGGAUCUGACACUAAAUGCUGCCACGCUUUGUCCUUCCCUAGCAUCUGUUAAUAAAUUAAUGUCUUUGCCUUUCUCCUGAAAAUCACUGCUGCACCAGCAAUGAAGACUCAGGAGCCUUCAUCGCAGAGCUUGUGCUUACAAACCUGUGUGCAAAAGCUGAAACGUGGGAAUUCCUGACCGGGAAGCGGGAGGGGGCUGCCAGUUCCUAUCAGCCACCAGCCGUCGGGGCAUGUGCAGAAAAUGCUGAUUUCCUCCAGGACCUUUGCACAUCAGCCUGGGUGAAGCAGCUCAUUAAAUGCAACUAAUUGCUGCAGUCAGUUGUGACAUGAAUUUUUCAAGGUUAAUUUAGCUUAGCACUAAGAGUCCUCCAUUUAUCUCCAAAGAGGGUGAGCCGCACCUGCCAGGCAGCCACCCCUAUGCUGCAUCUCCCCUCUGCAGACCCUCCAGAGCCAGGAGAUCCGAUUUGGAGCAUCCUCAGGGACCGCUGCGAGGGAGCGUGGGGGAAACCUGACCCAGGGAAGGCAAAGGUGUGGUACCACAGUGCUGUGCUUGAUGCGUGCACCAGCCUUGCUUUGUCCUGAAUGAUUCCUUCAAGAGUCCUUUCAGCCGUUUGCACAACUUACAGGAACACUGGGGAAAGCAGAGGCUGAAACGUGAAGAGUUCACUAAAACUUCCAGGUUCAACUCCCUGAUCCCAUCGCCCCCUAACCAUAAAGUUUCCAUAAAAAAUUC
RNAcentral lists this long non-coding RNA (1171 nucleotides) under Anser brachyrhynchus (Pink-footed goose). Its description in RNAcentral is "lncRNA (ENSABRG00000004844.1)". Lineage: Eukaryota; Metazoa; Chordata; Aves; Anseriformes; Anatidae. The record is from RNAcentral.